This 295-nucleotide ribosomal RNA is filed under the name Gammaproteobacteria bacterium. RNAcentral's name for it is "partial 23S ribosomal RNA". It matches the Rfam family "Bacterial large subunit ribosomal RNA", at positions 2651 to 2925 of the family's 2925-position model. The record is from RNAcentral. Lineage: Bacteria; Pseudomonadati; Pseudomonadota; Gammaproteobacteria.
GCGCUGGAGAUUUGAGAGGAUCUGUCCUUAGUACGAGAGGACCGGGAUGGACGUACCUCUGGUGUACCGGUUGUCAUGCCAAUGGCACUGCCGGGUAGCUAUGUACGGACGGGAUAACCGCUGAAAGCAUCUAAGCGGGAAGCCCACCUCAAGAUGAGAUCUCCCGGGAAUUUAACUCCCCUGAAGGUCCGUCGAAGACUACGACGUUGAUAGGCUCCAUGUGUAAGCGCAGUAAUGCGUUGAGCUAAGGAGUACUAAUUGACCGUGCGGCUUGACCUUAUAACACCCAAGCAGU